AUACGUAGGUGGCGAGCGUUGUCCGGAAUUACUGGGUGUAAAGGGCGUGUAGGCGGGAGAGCAAGUCGGAUGUGAAAUCCCAAGGCUCAACUUUGGGGCUGCAUCUGAAACUGUUCUUCUUGAGUACUGGAGAGGGAAGCGGAAUUCCUAGUGUAGCGGUGAAAUGCGUAGAGAUUAGGAGGAACACCAGUGACGAAGGCGGCUUCCUGGACAGAGACUGACGCUGAGGCGCGAAAGCGUGGGGAGCGAACAGGAUUAGAUACCCUGGUAGUCCACGCCGUAAACGAUGGAUACUAGGUGUAGGAGGUAUCGACACCUUCUGUGCCGGAGUUAACACAAUAAGUAUCCCACCUGGGGAGUACGGCCGCAAGGUUGAA
Molecule: ribosomal RNA, 377 nt
Filed under: uncultured bacterium
Lineage: Bacteria
Description: bacterial SSU rRNA
Rfam family: Bacterial small subunit ribosomal RNA
Source: RNAcentral